RNAcentral lists this transfer RNA (72 nucleotides) under Gekko hokouensis. RNAcentral describes it as "tRNA- Val". Lineage: Eukaryota; Metazoa; Chordata; Lepidosauria; Squamata; Gekkonidae. The record is from RNAcentral. RNAcentral also lists the same sequence under 1 other name.
CAAGAAGUAGCUUAUACCACCUUAAAGUAUUCAACUUACAAUUGAACGAUGUCUCCCCAAAGACCUUUUUGA